AGAACGAACGCUGGCGGCAGGCCUCAAACAUGCAAGUCUAGGGGGUGUAGCAAUACAUCACCGGCGGACGGGUGCGUAACGCGUGGGAAUAUACCUAUUGGUUCGGAACAACUGAGGGAAACUUCAGCUAAUACCGGAUAAGCCCUUACGGGGAAAGAUUUCUCGCCAAUAGAUUAGCCCGCGUCCGAUUAGCUAGUUGGUGGGGUAAAAGCCUACCAAGGCGACGAUCGGUAGCUGUUCUGAGAGGAAGAUCAGCCACACUGGGACUGAGACACGGCCCAGACUCCUACGGGAGGCAGCAGUUGGGAAUCUUGGACAAUGGGGAAACCCUGAUCCAGCCAUGCCGCGUGAGUGAUGAAGGCCUUCGGGUUGUAAAACUCUUUCGACGGGGACGAUAAUGACGGUACCCGUAGAAGAAGCUCCGGCUAACUUCGUGCCAGCAGCCGC
RNAcentral lists this ribosomal RNA (447 nucleotides) under uncultured bacterium. RNAcentral's name for it is "SSU rRNA". It matches the Rfam family "Bacterial small subunit ribosomal RNA", at positions 26 to 518 of the family's 1533-position model. The record is from RNAcentral.